Molecule: ribosomal RNA, 736 nt
Filed under: uncultured bacterium
Lineage: Bacteria
Description: bacterial SSU rRNA
Rfam family: Bacterial small subunit ribosomal RNA
Source: RNAcentral
GACGAACGCUGGCGGCGCGCCUAACACAUGCAAGUCGAACGGGCUUAUUGUGUGCUUGCACAUAAUAAGCUAGUGGCGGACGGGUGAGUAACACGUGAGCAACCUACCUAAUAGAGGGGGAUAACGUCUGGAAACGGACGCUAAUACCGCAUGAACUUAAGCUGGGGCAUCCUGGCAUAAGCAAAGGAGAAAUCCGCUAUUAGAUGGGCUCGCGGCCGAUUAGGUAGUUGGUAGGGUAAAGGCCUACCAAGCCUACGAUCGGUAGCCGGACUGAGAGGUUGAACGGCCACAUUGGGACUGAGACACGGCCCAGACUCCUACGGGAGGCAGCAGUGGGGAAUAUUGCACAAUGGAGGAAACUCUGAUGCAGCGACGUCGCGUGAGGGAAGAAGGUUUUCGGAUUGUAAACCUCUGUCUUCGGUGAAGAAAAUGACGGUAACCGAAGAGGAAGCCACGGCUAACUACGUGCCAGCAGCCGCGGUAAUACGUAGGUGGCAAGCGUUGUCCGGAAUUACUGGGUGUAAAGGGAGCGUAGGCGGGAAUGCAAGUUGAAUGUUAAAGCUAUCGGCUUAACCGGUAGAAGCGUUCAAAACUGCAUUUCUUGAGUGGAGUAGAGGCAGGCGGAAUUCCUAGUGUAGCGGUGAAAUGCGUAGAUAUUAGGAGGAACACCAGUGGCGAAGGCGGUCUGCUGGGCUCUAACUGACGCUGAGGCUCGAAAGCGUGGGUAGCAAACAGG